CAGCCGCCGCGGUAAAACGAAGGGGGCUAGCGUUGUUCGGAUUUACUGGGCGUAAAGCGCACGUAGGCGGAUCGAUCAGUCAGGGGUGAAAUCCCAGAGCUCAACUCUGGAACUGCCUUUGAUACUGUCGAUCUGGAGUAUGGAAGAGGUGAGUGGAAUUCCGAGUGUAGAGGUGAAAUUCGUAGAUAUUCGGAGGAACACCAGUGGCGAAGGCGGCUCACUGGUCCAUUACUGACGCUGAGGUGCGAAAGCGUGGGGAGCAAACAGGAUUAGAUACCCGCGUAGUCCCUGUCUCUUAUAC
RNAcentral lists this ribosomal RNA (301 nucleotides) under uncultured bacterium. RNAcentral describes it as "partial 16S ribosomal RNA". It matches the Rfam family "Bacterial small subunit ribosomal RNA", at positions 509 to 807 of the family's 1533-position model. The record is from RNAcentral.